RNAcentral lists this long non-coding RNA (1016 nucleotides) under Phasianus colchicus (ring-necked pheasant). RNAcentral describes it as "lncRNA (ENSPCLG00000019889.1)". The record is from RNAcentral. Lineage: Eukaryota; Metazoa; Chordata; Aves; Galliformes; Phasianidae.
CUGCAAUCAACCUUCUUCCCUUCAGAGUCUUCUUUUCAGUGAGACCACUGGGAAAGACAUCUGUGUGGGAAGCUUAUUUACAGAGCCCAUGCACCUCCCAUUCUCUGUGGUGGGACUAUUUUUGCUGCAUCUGUCACAGCUGCCUAAGGAAACACAGAAGCACAGCCCAGCUGUGCCCAGAGCUGAAUGCCCUUCUCAUGCUUGCAUGCUUGGACACUCUAUGAAACAUGGGCUCGUCCUUGGCAUAUGAUAGAGCAGGCUUUAAGCUCCUGUACUCUAGCUGAACUAUGGGAUGCAGCCAGUCUGCACUACAGAAUCAUCACAGAAUCAUAGAAUUGUUUGAAUUGGAAGGGACCCUUAAAGAUCGUCUAGUCCAACUUGAAAUCAACAGGGAAAUCAAAGAGGCCCAAGAUGCUGCCCCAGGCUGGGCCUAGGCCAGGGACACUUUGCAGAUGCUAUGUGAAGAUGCUUUCAGGGUGGGUGGCUCCCAGCACUAUGUUUUGGAGCAAAAAAGCACAUCAGCCUGCUGUGGUUUUGCUUUUGGGAUCAGAUGAAACCAUGCAAACAGUGACUUUAAAAGCAUAUCCUUACCACUACCAACUUUAUUUAGUAUGCAACAUAGGCCUUCUGCUGAUAACGAGUAACAUCUGCAUGAGAGCAAAAGGGCAGAGAAGAAAUACUUCUGCAGACUCUGCUCAUCCUGGGUGCUUGUAGACAAUUUCAAGUGGAAUGGGUAUAUAACAAAAAUCAGAGCUGACAAGAUGUAUUUUUAGCCACAUGCUUCUCAUCUUGACAUCGAUAUGCAGCAUUUGUUUGGGUUUUGGACUUGUAACAGUAAUGAAAUCCUUGCAUCUCCAAGUAUCUUCUGAGUUCUAGUAAAUUCACUAUGCCUACCUGAUGAGCAUGCAGAGUGAAAAGUCCCUUCUGUAGGAUGAGCCAUAAAUACAAUCUGGGACAAUAUGCUUCCUAUGUAAGACAAAAAAUAAAAUAGUUUUAUGCUCAAAGGUAGUAUUACA